AUUGAACGCUGGCGGCAGGCUUAACACAUGCAAGUCGAGCGGAGAGAGGUAGCUUGCUACUGAUCUUAGCGGCGGACGGGUGAGUAAUGCUUAGGAAUCUGCCUAUUAGUGGGGGACAACAUUUCGAAAGGAAUGCUAAUACCGCAUACGUCCUACGGGAGAAAGCAGGGGAUCUUUGGACCUUGCGCUAAUAGAUGAGCCUAAGUCGGAUUAGCUAGUUGGUGGGGUAAAGGCCUACCAAGGCGACGAUCUGUAGCGGGUCUGAGAGGAUGAUCCGCCACACUGGGACUGAGACACGGCCCAGACUCCUACGGGAGGCAGCAGUGGGGAAUAUUGGACAAUGGGGGGAACCCUGAUCCAGCCAUGCCGCGUGUGUGAAGAAGGCCUUAUGGUUGUAAAGCACUUUAAGCGAGGAGGGGGCUACUUUAGUUAAUACCUAGAGAUAGUGGACGUUACUCGCAGAAUAAGCACCGGCUAACUCUGUGCCAGCCGCCGCGGUAA
This 501-nucleotide ribosomal RNA is filed under the name uncultured bacterium. Its description in RNAcentral is "partial 16S ribosomal RNA". It matches the Rfam family "Bacterial small subunit ribosomal RNA", at positions 30 to 523 of the family's 1533-position model. The record is from RNAcentral.